This 253-nucleotide ribosomal RNA is filed under the name uncultured bacterium. RNAcentral's name for it is "partial 16S ribosomal RNA". It matches the Rfam family "Bacterial small subunit ribosomal RNA", at positions 524 to 776 of the family's 1533-position model. The record is from RNAcentral.
UACGUAGGGGGCUAGCGUUGUCCGGAUUUAUUGGGCGUAAAGAGCGUGUAGGCGGCCAGGUAGGUCUGGUGUGAAAACUCGAGGCUUAACCUCGAGAUGUCAUCGGAAACCAUCUGGCUAGAGUCCGGAAGAGGAGAGUGGAAUUCCUGGUGUAGCGGUGAAAUGCGCAGAUAUCAGGAAGAACACCCGUGGCGAAGGCGGUUCUCUGGGACGGUACUGACGCUGAGGUGCGAAAGCGUGGGGAGCAAACAGG